Molecule: non-coding RNA, 1780 nt
Organism: Coffea arabica (coffee)
Lineage: Eukaryota; Viridiplantae; Streptophyta; Magnoliopsida; Gentianales; Rubiaceae
Source: RefSeq, a predicted model, not a curated record
AUCCUUUGCAUGAUAAUAUUGUAUUUGUUCACCUGGUACCAAAUCUACCAUUCAAGAUUCUACUUUUCUUUCUUUUUAAUAUCUUUCCAACCUGCUUCAUCCAAUCUACUUGUCAAGAUUCGUAUUUUUUCCUCCUUUGUAAUUUGUUCUUCCUGCUUAACCAGGAAUACUAAUUUGGUAACAAGAUGUCGCCCUGCGCCUGGAGAAGCUUCGAUAGCUAUCUGGGCCUCCCGAAAUACAGCUUGGCAAGUGGAAAAACAAGAUCUCUGUUCCAAUCUGCAAAUGUUGUUGAAAGGCAGAAUUUGGAAGGUGGUAUGGAUGGAUCCUUAGCAGAGAAGUAUGCUUCUUCGCAUGAGAGACUGUCUGAUGACAUACGGAAAGAGAAUUGUGUAUCAGAUAUGCUAAUUGAUUCAUUUGGGAGGCUUCAUACUUAUUUGAGGAUCUCUUUGACAGAACGUUGCAACUUACGGUGUCAGUACUGUAUGCCAGCUGAGGGUGUAGAAUUAACCCCAAAUUCUCAUCUUCUAUCACAAAAUGAGAUUCUUCGUUUGGCGAAUCUUUUUGUCAGUUCUGGAGUUGACAAAAUUCGUUUGACUGGUGGAGAGCCAACUGUCAGAAAGGAUAUUGAAGAUAUUUGCUCACAGCUGUCAAACCUGAAGGGACUAAAAACCUUGGCUAUGACCACAAAUGGAAUUACACUAGCAAGGAAACUGCCAAAACUGAAAGAAUGUGGACUGAAUUUGGUAAACAUAAGCUUAGAUACAUUGGUACCAGCAAAAUUUGAAUUUAUGACUCGGCGUAAAGGACAUGAAAGGGUGAUGGAGUCAAUUAAUGCUGCAGUCGACUUGGGAUACAAUCCUGUCAAGGUCAAUUGUGUCGUAAUGCGUGGCUUCAAUGAUGAUGAGAUCUGUGAUUUUGUAGAAUUGACGCGUGAGAAGCCCAUUAAUGUUCGGUUUAUUGAGUUCAUGCCUUUUGAUGGAAAUGUUUGGAACGUCAAGAAACUUGUGCCCUACUCUGAAAUGUUGGACAGAGUGGUAAGGUUAAACAGUUUACAGGGGUUCAGAGAAUUCAGGACCAUCCAACUGAGACUGCUAAGAAUUUCAGGGUUGAGGGCCAUCAGGGUUCAGUUUCUUUUAUUACAUCAAUGACUGAGCAUUUUUGUGCUGGAUGUAACAGGUUGAGACUUUUGGCUGAUGGGAAUUUCAAAGUAUGCCUUUUUGGUCCCUCAGAGGUCAGCUUAAGGGAUCCACUUCGUCUUGGUGUUGAGGAUAAUGAGCUCAAGGAGAUUAUUGGGGCUGCGGUUAAGAGAAAGAAGGCUUCUCAUGCUGGCAUGUUUGAUAUUGCAAAGACGUCAAAUAGACCCAUGAUCCGCAUUGGUGGCUAAGCUUGUGCGAAGUUGAAGUGAUUCCAUGCCUAAAUAAACUAUGUUUGAUGAGGAAAUUGUGACCAAGUCGAUUCCAUCUGAUGACUCUGAAUUUAUGUCUGGGUUGAGUGUCUCUGAAGCGCCAGGAAGAACUUGUCAUCUAUUCUGUAGUUGGAUUUUUUUUUUUCCCCCUAUCAGCCAUUUUCAUGUAAUUCUGAAUUUUGUACAAUGUUGUGAUAUUAGUAAUGUGAUCGAGAAGCAAGGAGGUCAAUCUCUUUCAAAUAUACAACAUGGAUUCUGGCAAUGCAAUGUAAUGUAGUUGGACUCUCAUUGGAACUCUGUUUCUAUUUAUUUUUGUUUUACCUUGGAAAAUCAUACAAUUACCUCGCGGGGAGUUAGCUGCACCCACGAAUGAUA